RNAcentral lists this long non-coding RNA (1454 nucleotides) under Equus caballus (horse). RNAcentral describes it as "lncRNA (ENSECAG00000044927.1)". Lineage: Eukaryota; Metazoa; Chordata; Mammalia; Perissodactyla; Equidae. The record is from RNAcentral.
GACGCCUAACUGCAGGCUGCCUUUCUUGUCCCUGACAUUACACUUUCAGCUGUGAACGUCUCCACAUCUGGGGCAUCAAUGGACACAGACCAUGCAACAGACAAACUGGAGCAGUCCUUUGGCAUUUGCUUGCUUCAUGCUGUCAAGUCAGCUCCGACUCCUGGCGACCCUGUGAAUGAGUGAUGUCCACAAUGUCCUGUCCUCAACAGCUCUACUCAGCUCCUGUGCACUCAUGCCUCUGGCUUUCUUUAUGGAGUCAAUCCAUCUCCUAUUUGGUCUUCCUCCUUUCCUGCUGCCUUCUACUUUUCCCAGCAUUGUUGUCUUUUCUGAAGAAUCCUGCCUUCUCAUGACGUGCAAAGUUGGAUAGCCUCAGUUUUAUCACUUUUGCCCCUAGUGAUAGUUCAGGCUUAAUUUGCUCUAGGACCCACUUGUUCAUCUUUCUGGCGGUCCAGGGUGUCUGUAUAGCUCUCUUCCAACACUGCAUUUCACAUGAAUCAAUUUUUUUCCCGUCAGCCUUCUUCACUAACUUCCCCACCCAUACAUAGUAAUUGGGAAUACGAGGGUGUGGAUGAUCUUGGCCUUGGUCUCUAGUGAUACUUCUCUAUAUUAGAUGACCUUUCUUAAUUCCUUCAUUGCUGCUCUUGCAAGUCUCAGUCUUCUCUUCAUUUCUUGGCUGCAGUCUCCGUUGAAACCGAUGACUGAACCAAAGUGAACAACAUCUUUAACGAUUUCUUUUUUUCUUCUUCUUGUUCUUCUCCCCAAAGCCCCCCAGUACCUAGUUGUAGAUUCUAGUUGUGAGCGCCUCUGGUUGUGCCAUGUGGGACGCCGCCUCAGCAUGGCCUGAUGAGCGAUGCCACGUCCACACCCAGGAUCCCAACCAGCGAAACCCUGGGCCGCCGAAGCUGAGCACGCAAACCCAACCGCUUGGCCGUGGGGCUCGUCCUCUAACAAUUUCAAUGUCUUCAUUGCCUGUUUGCAGUUGUUUAGCUCUUCUUAGUCAGGAUGUAAGGUUUGCUACACAAUGCAGUGUUUGCUCCAUGACGUAGUGUUGCUAAUGUAAACACACUUUUGCACACACCCACUCCUGUCUUGUCUACUCUCCCCUUCCCCCCAACCAACAGCUCAGCCAACCCUCAAUCAUCUUUCGAUAUCUAUUUCAGGUGCAGCCCACAGCAACUCCAGAGUUUUUUCUAAGGGAUAUCUACAACCACAUCCCUCAUCUUAAAAUUCAGUAGAAGGGUUCUAGUAUGAACUAUGUGUACAUCAAGGGAGAAAAAUAGGAGAAUCCAUGCAACUGCCAAUUUGCAAAUACUUCUCUUAGAGGCAAGCACGAGGAAGCAGGAUAAGUGAUACAGACCAUAAAAACAAUUUGACAUGUUUAUGGCAAAUAAACUUGUAAGGAAAUGUUUAUCCUUCUGAGUUAUUAGAGAAAUAAAAAUGAGAUUUCAUUUUCA